This 41571-nucleotide long non-coding RNA is filed under the name Coffea arabica (coffee). RNAcentral describes it as "long non-coding RNA (CARA_LNC004967)". Lineage: Eukaryota; Viridiplantae; Streptophyta; Magnoliopsida; Gentianales; Rubiaceae. The record is from RNAcentral.
UUUUUUUUCUUUUUUUUUUUUUUUAGGUGUGUCUCGCAGGGAGUGAACCCCGCAGACUAUUCACCACCCUCAGCAACUUGCUGGCAGCAAGGUUCGAACCAGGGACCUGAGGCUCCAUCUUCAGCAACUUCAACCACCAGACCAAACCCCUGAGGGCAAAACAAAGAAUGUUACCAAUAGUUCUUUCUAGACUAGCAUGCCGGUUAUCGAUUUCAAUGUAAACAAUUUAGAACUCCAAAACUGCCUUGUUAAUGCUAUAAUUCCAAUGCAACUAUGUGUUCACAAAUGGUAAAGUAACUGGGGAUAAUGCUACAGCAUAGUUUAAACAAUAAAGAUCAAUUUUAAGGGGAAUUUUGUACAUUUGUUCAAAGGAUAAUAUCGACACGCAAGAGCAAUCCUCAUUCGUUUUUCUAUGUUUAAUUCUUUCUUUAUAUUCUUUCCUCCACUCAUUCUGGAAAAAAUAAAUAAAAACCAAUUUAUCCCAUUAUCUUUGUUGCUUAUGGGGAUUAAGGCAUUUUUAUGCACAAAGGGCACAUUACAUUUUCUUAUCCUUAUCAAUAUAUAUAUAUAUAUAUAUAUAUAUAUAUAUAGAAACUAAUUAUCUUAUAUAUAUCUAAUAAGAAAAAAAAAACUAUUUUUGCUGGUGAGUGUCUUGUGGGCUGUUCCACUCUUCAAUCACAUUCAUCCAACAUGGCUCCACAUUAAUUUUGUUACACAUUUUACAAAUUGCUUAAGAAUUUUCAGUCAUCCUUGAUCCACUGAGGUUAACAUAUAUGGUAAUGAUGUGCAACCAAAUUUACAUCAGGCAAAACAGCUUGGCACACUAAACAUUUGAUGAAUUUGACAUUUAUGGCAAUAAUUGUUCAUGCACUAAUAGCACUUUAUUAAUUAAAUACAGUUAAACACAAAUAAUGUCGUAGGCCUUUAUCAUUUGCUGAUAUCUCAAGUUUCAUUUCUGCAAGGAUAAUUAGAAGUUUCAUUCUCUGAUAUUAGUCACAAUCGCAGAGAACCAUUUACUGAUCUUUUAGAUUGGGCUAACACCCCCUUAGCUUUGAAAACCUCUUAUUGGUUUUUUUUUUUUUUAUAAUAACAUCCCGGAUAGUGAUGUCAAAUGAAAAAUCAGAAUUCCAAAAAUGCGUUCUUAAUGCUAUAUUUUAAACGGUUUGUCUGACUGGGGCACCCAUUAAUAUAUAUUUCAGGUAUUAUACUUUUGAAAAUAUAAGAUUAAUUAGGCAAAAUAAAUAAAUACAAGGGAGUGUAGGCAAGAUUAAAUAGGGAGAAUAUAUGAAUGCAAGAAAGAAUAACAAUUAAUUGUUAGUAUAGUAUAGAAGUGGCAAAAUGGAUAUAUGGUUGAUAAAUGGUUUUAGUUAAAUGGAUAGUGGAUCAAAUUGAUCCAAUCCAAUUAAAACCAUUUAAUAAAUGGAUCUAAAUGGAUGUCAUUUAAAUGGAUAGUGUAAACCAUGAUCCAUCCAUUUAUCCAUUUACUCUUCCAAAUCCUAAAUUUAAGAUCCAAAUAUUUUUUUCUAAAAAAUACAGAUCCCCAAAGUUUUAUCCUUAAAUCACCUAAAACCUUUUGGUAAUAACAAAUGCUUGUACUGUUACUUUAUUUCAGUUCUUCAUAAAAUUAGUUUAGUUCCAAGAAAAUUUAACUGUCCUUUCAUCAUUACUUUAAGUAUCAUUUUGUAAAGUAAUGAACAAUUAAGAACUUAGCUAUAUUUUUAUAACUUUUGAAUGAAUUGAAUACGGCUUUACAGUGAAAAAAAGUUUACGUUUCCAAUUUUUUGCACUCCUGUUCAAGAGUGAUGUCUUGAAUAAAAGUGGAGUUCUAAUAAGAAAUCUUAUGUUAUUUGACAAGUAAAUUAUUUUCAUCACAUGUGCACGUAGUACCUAAACAUAUAUAAAACUCCUUAUUAUACCAUUGAUAUACAAGCUACCUUAUAUUACUUAGUAAAUUAGGUAUAUAUAUAUUUUUUUGGAUAGUUGGGUUGGGUGAUAAAGGGAGAGGAAUUGAAAGUAUGAGGAUUUGGAAAAAAAAAAAAAAAGGUGUCAUUUACAUAUCUUAACCAAUGUUGCGGGGACACUCGUUAGAAAAAUUCUUUUAUAAUUAAAAGAAUUAAAAAAAUAAAAAUUAUUUUGACACUGCAUGAUGCAUUCUCGCUUUUUCUUUACUUAAGAAUAUAAAUGUUUGCAAUCAUUACUACAUGAGAGUUUAAUUAAAAAAAAACAAGAGUAGAGACUAAAAUAUAAUUUUGAAAAGUAUGGAAGAAGUCUAGGAACUAGAAGCAAAUAAAAUGUAAUUAAUGUUAUUGGCAACUUGGCAUGUGAGGAAGUUAUGAAAGAAAGAAUAGGUGGUCCCACAAAAUUAAUUUGACAUAUGAGGAAGUUAUGAAGAAAAAAAUAGAUUGUCCCACAAGAUUUUCUCACAUUUUUAUAAAUGUGUUUUCUAUUUUUUAAGUUAAAUGGAUGUAUAUGGAUAAGAUGGAUAAUCCAUUUAAAUCCACCAACAUAAUUGGAUUUAAAUGGUUAUCCAUUUAAAACCAUUGAAUUUAUAUGGAUAAUCCAAAUCCAUUUAAGGUUGGUUUAUAUGGAUGGAUUGGUGGAUAUGAAUCCAUUUUGCCACUUCUAGUAUAGUAUAUGUAUAUAUAUAUAUAUAUAUAUAUAUAUAUGGUAUGUUAGAUAAACACUAGAUGUAUAUAUUAACGAGUGCCCUAAAAGCACCCGUUACAAAAGCUCUAUUUUUAAUAUGUUCGAUGGAAUAAUUUCUUAUAUCUAUUAUGUCCAAGGGUUAGGUCCAUACAAAACCCGGAUAUGCAAAAUAAGUACUCGAAUGGGAAUUUUGUAUAAUUUCUCAAUUUGCCUGAUUAGCUUUGUUUGCUUCGAUUCAUUAGGCAGAACGGACACCUUCUCCAAACGGUAUCAUGCACAGAAAACUAUAGAGUAAACUUCACAGCUAAGUACAAAAACCAGAUUAAACUAUAGAAAUAAAUUAUUUUGCCAUACAAAUGCGGACUUGUCUUCCGCUCUCGAGUCACAUGGAGCUAACGAACAAGAGAGUUAAUAAUAAUUCAAGAUACUCGGAAUAGGCUGCUACAAGGCCGCGCAAUUCCAAGCCGAUUGUGUGAAAAGUUCGCCCAAUGAAUUUUCAACACAUCAGCUCAAAUGGGGCAGUUGAAAUACCGAAAUAAAAAAAAAAAAAAAACCAAACCUAAUUCAAGAUGGACCCUUAAUCUACCGGUCCACCUACAAGUACAUGCUUCUCUAAUCACAUACCGUAUCCGAGGCUAUUUUGAUUCCUUAUGCGGGAUCACAAGAUCCUCAUCAUAAAGAAAUUUUGAACCAAAAAAAAAAAAAAAAGAACAGGAAUAGAACAUAAAAUAAAUUACACCACUCGACUGUUAAUCAGAUGGGAUAGUAUUCCGUAGAUCACCAGUUCGAAUCGCUCUAUAGUAUCGCCUUGGACAAAACUCUGCCACCCAGAAUGUGAAUUAGUCUAGUUAAAUCGGGAUACCACUUUCUCUUGACAAAAAAAAAAAUCAAAAAUAAUAAGAGGAGGGCAAAUGGAGAGGUUCAAAACUCUCCAAAUCGGAGACUGGGGGCAUCUGACUGAACAGUGGGCUAUGCACGAAAAUGGUGGAAUCAAAGCCCAGCCCAAGAUGUUUCUGACAGUAAGAUGAGGCAGGUUCUGUAGUGGGCUCAUCUGUGUAGGUGCCACACAGGUGUGUCGAGGGUUCAGCCCAAACCUCACUCGAAAAGGCCGAAGGUAGAGCAGGAAGCUGUUCCGACCCACCAGCAUCUCCAGAAGAGUUGGAGUAGUGGUGGGAAGAGUCAAAAUGGUGAAGAAUACCCUCAGCUGCAGAGACUGAAGGUUGCUGAUGAUAAUGACUUUUUGGACUUGCAUAUACAUCUCCAGGAGUCCCUGAAUAGCCAUCAUAGUAACUACUAUACUCCAUUUUGGAAUGCCCAACUCUUGAAUAGAGAUAAUCCUGACUACCACACUGGGAAAUUUGCUGAUGCUGCUGUUGCUGGUGCUGAUGAUGAAAUUGCAGAACUUCUCCUUCCUGUUGUUGUUGUACUAGGGAGUUAAUAUGAUCAUGGUGGUAUCCAAAACCGCGAAGAUUAUUUUGAAUGGAUCGGUGAUUAGGCGCGAUGGUUUCCUCGGGGCAUAUGAUGGCUGUGACAGAUGAGCCAGGGGGCAUGUCUGAGUAGACAAAGUUAGUACGAGCACGAGAGCCCCGCAUUGAGCGAGCAGCUUUAUCGUAGGCAAGGGCAGCUUCCUCAGCCGUGUCAAACGUCCCAAGCCAAUGCCUUUCUUUGGUUGUUGGAUCGCGUAUCUCCGCGGCAAAUCGUCCCCAUGGCCUCCUCCUUACUCCCAGGAAUUUUACUGCAUCUCCACCUGUUUCCUGCUGCAUCUUGACUUGGGCUUGCUGCUUCUUUUUGCCACUGCUAGAUGAUGACAUUGAUGAUAGUGAUAUGUGUGUGUGGAAUAUGUAGCUUUCUUCUGUAUCAAGACUAAGCUAAGGUGACUGCUACUAGUAGUAGUUGGAUUUCUUAUAGAUGGAUGAUAGUUGCUUUCUUUUGUUUGUCAUAGGGUGCCAUUUUAUGUAGUCAAUGAGUGGAUAUAUAUAGUCUUAGACUACUAGGUAUCAAAUAGGGAGGGAGUUGGAGGAUACUAGGGCCAUUAGGGGAGAGAAAAUGAGAGACUUUUAGCAAUUUCAAGUGCUCAAGAGUCCAAUUUUUAUUUUUUUUUCACUAAUUUUUAUCUAUUGUGUAAUUAUUUUUGUCUUGCAAAUUGAUCAUAUAACCAGGUGUAAAAAAGGUCGAGUUGGGAAAUAUCCUGGUCUGCUUUCACAUAUAGGUUGUAAUUUUUUUUUUAAAGUAAAUCUUAUAUACACUGAUAGUAGAUGCACUAUUACCAUUUGAUUCAUGACAUACGUGUAAAAGUUGAAUUUCAAAUUCAAAUUUUAUAUAGUUGUCAUUCAUCCAACGCUGAUAGUAUAUACACUGUUAGUAUAGGAAAGAUUAAUCCUUUUUUUAUAAAAAAAAAAAGUUAAAUUCUAAAAUUUACCCUGAGAUGAUUAAAUUUCCAUAAUCAACUUUUACAAAAUUUAGAUCAAACAAGAACAUGCAGAGAAUAAUAUAUUCUGUGAAUUGUGGGACGUGUUACCUAACUUUCAGUUUUUUAGUAAAAGGAAGGAAAAGCAAAGCAACCGCCAAUUUAGAUUUUAGCCAUUUGUGGGCCAUUACCACUCAACCACCAUAUGCCAAGUUCCAAAAGGGAGGUUAUUGGUUCUUCUGGCAAUUAAUUAAAAGACUCAGGAAGUUUGCAUGUGAAUUGGCUCUUGAAUGAAACCAAAAGAAGUCAAGGGACCCAUUUUCACUAACAAAACUGAUGAACAAAGUUCAUAUGAAUGAGAAGAAGAUGACAAGAGAUUGAGCGGUUCUAUAGUGAGAAGCUUUGAAUUGCAUGAUGGAAAGUAUACUCUUCAAGAAAAAAAAAAAAAAGGGCAAUUUGCUCAAUUGCAUGAUUACAUGCAAUUGUAGUGGAUCAGCAUGUUCUUCUUAUGAUUGCCAUUAAUCUUGCACAUCCACAUAAUUAUUCUCAAUCAGAAUCUAAUUAUUUAAUAUCACUGUAGAUUAUUCUUAUGAUUACAAGCGGUUUGGUUCAAGUUUGAUAAAAAAAACCCAUAGAGUGUUUGGUUCAGGUUAAGGCUUCCGAACGUAGAAAUUCUUGGUUCUAUUCCCCUACUCCCUUCCCGUUUCUUAAAUCCCACCCCUCCCUUGCUAGGAAAAAAAAAAGCUUUACAGCAAUGGGUCUUAAUAAUAAAAAAAAUAAUGAUAAAUAAAACCCUAAUCUUUCAUAGUUAAUCAUGAAACUCAUUAAUUGACUGACUUUAAACCAACAUUAUGUAUGAAUACAAUAUGAAAUUAAAACCCAUUUCUGGUCUUAAAAUCCACUUACCAAACACCUCCCUAGUAGAAUCAAUUUUUGGUGGAUUGACUAGUUAGUGGAAUUAAUAAAAACAUGAUACUACAUCUACAGGCACCAUGCAUUGUCUGUUUCUUUUUAGUCAGCAGUCUUUGCUUAAACCCAUUUUUUUUUUCUGUUAAAACUCUUGGUCUUGACCUGCAUUGCAUGUGAUCUUUUGUUUCUAAUGAACCGACUACUACAUUUUCUACCUGAUCACCUUAUUAAAUAAUUGAAUGCAAAUUUAAUUGUAAAAAAGACACAAGUGUGUGCAUGAAUCAUGAUCAAUGAUUGGUCUCUAAAUCCUAAUCAUCUGGACUGAAGUAGUCAUUAUUGAAGUUUUUUUUACAAUGAUUGGCUACUCUCCGAUGAAUUCUCUUUCUAUAUCCCACAAUGCAUAUCUAGAUGAAUAACACGGAUCUAUAGGAGUUAUGACCUAUGGAGCCAAACAACCCAACUUUCGGUCUACGAAGUUUUUCUAUGGAUUUGGUCCAAAGCCCUCCUCUUCACUCAAAAUAUUUUUCCUUUUCUUUCAACAUAAAAAAAAUUAUUAUUCAACUAAUUGCUAUAUGAUGCCUUCCUUUGCUUUGCAUAUAGAAGAAUUAUAAUUGAAAUUAUUGCUAAGUGAUGUGGAAUCCUUAGGGAAUCAGAAUGUAACCUAGAUAAAGGGCAUCUUCAAUUUAUUGUAGGGUCUAAUUAAUGGUCUAUGUUUAAGUUAUAUCAGUUUAAUCCAAUCCAAACCAUCCAAUUCAAAUUUAAAAACAAAACGAAUAUUUUUUUUUUCUUUGUUUUUGAAUUGACCACCUAAAUCUGGCUACAUCAGUCCGGACUGAUUUGGGCUGUCAAUUAUUCUCUGUAAUUGCCCUUAGCGAUUGCAGAGCUAUUAUACCUAAAGUAAGUCCAUCAGGAAACUUAUAAAUCCUGCUAUUUUGUGUAUGUUUAUCUGGUCGCCCUUGUAUGGAGUUCCUACUUCAUGACUGCCAUUUUGCGCCAAGAAUUUCUUCACAUAUCCUCAAGUAACUCAGUCCCAGAAACAGGUAUCCACCUUGGUUGGUCGAGCUACUUGAGCAAAUUCCUUGUGCAUGCUCCGAGCCUCUUACCAUAUUUCGUACUCCCACCUCUAAAUUUAGACUGCUGAAGCGUUAUGUCAACAGGUUGAUAGGACACUGGUUUUAGAAGUAAAAGGCAAUUUUGUGCAGUAUGAUCUUGGAAGAGGUUGACAGUGUCUCAGAUUGUUUUGCAAACCACCUCAGGCGGUCAAGUCAGCCGUGGCUAUGGUGGCGCGCAGAUAAGAUGUCAAAUAGGACAAGGCAUUACAGCGCUGAGUGGUGGUGCUUGAGCAUGCAUAUCUAAGUCAUAUGUCCUCCUAACUCAGAACUUGAUACAACAAUAAGGUACAAAGUUGGCACAGGUGACAAAAGGGCGAUAAAUUAUGGUAACAAAAAGAUAGAUAAUCAAGACAAAGGUUGAUCUGCACAAAGUGAUCGCCCCAACAGGAAUGUGAUGAUGUAAAAGCAACAGUCAAAUUACAAGAAGAAAAGGAAAUGGAACUUUACUAAUAGCUGUGAGUGAACUACACAAGGUCGAGCUAUUUUUUGUCAACAGAAAUAAUGACAAAAAUAGCUCGCUGGACUCACAAUCAAACUAAAGAAUAUGGUCAAUCAAUCAAUGGAUCAAUCAUCCCUUUACACAAAAAUUGCAGGGGGGGAGGUUAUAAUUGCCUGGAUUAGGAGGCAACCAAAUCAAUCAGGUGAAAAAGGAAAGGGAAAAUACAAUGAACAAUCAAGUCAAGCAAAGAACUAUUCCAACAGAUGUACAAAGCUUCACAGAUCUAUUGAGCAGAGAUCUCCACAAACUUGUCUGAUGUUGGGCCUUUCAUUUACGGGAAGGAUACACCGAAGCGAUAUGGCAAGCAAGUCAUUCAUCGCUUUUGAAUGCUCUUCCCCACCAGCAAUAUCUCUGUCAAUACAGUCCAUUCCUCGACCUUCUUGAUCACAUAGCCGAAGCCAGUCUGUAAGAUCAACAGCUCCUGAUUCACCAGAGAUGAUGUCACCGGCACUUCUUCUGGUCAGCAAUUCCAUCAGAAUAACACCCAGUGCAUAAACAUCAGCCUUAAAUGAUGGCAUAGGUUUUGUGGCAUUUGCAAGCUCUGGGGCACGAUAUCCAAGGGUCCCCAGGUUCAGUAUCUGCUCAGCGAUGCCAGCUGGAGUCAUCAGGCGGUGGAGACAAUAAUCUGUAAGACGAGCAUCGUAGUUAGGCCCCUCCAAGAUUACAUUCGUAGGCUUUAAGUUUCCAUGAGGCAAUCCUCUUUCAUGAAGGUACAUCAGACAGCGAGCAACAUCAACAGCGACCUUUACCCUUUGACUGAAUGAUAACGGGGAGUACCUCCGAGGCGUUGUCUCUGCAUGGCAUACAUUUCAGAACAUGAGCAAAGCACAUUAUUUUUGCAGAGCUUUACCUCUAACCCAGCUAUAAAGACAUGUUAAAUCACUAAUCAGAAUUUAACAGUUGCCAAAAACUUACCACACGCCAAAAUUCCAAGUCCGACAACUAGAGAAUAAGCAAUGACAUUUAACAAUAGCAGAAAUGGACUCACCUGCUUGGGGAAAUAUAAUAGCACUGCAGAAGCUGAGCAAUAGGCAAUCCUCUUAAUGCUAAUCAAUAUUACAGAGGAGGACCAUAGAAUAUCAAGAUACUAUAAGUGAGAACACUCAGUAAAUGUCCUGCAUUAUAACUCACACGCCUUGCGCCACUGUUCAGCACAAGAAAAAUUCACUCAAAAAGUGUGUAGAGUCCAUUGGGAUGUGCUAAAUCGAUCAUCCUUCCCUGUUUUGUCUUUUUUGUUUGAAGUGACAGGAUCAUUGAAAGCUUACACAGACAAUCAAAUGCAACUCUUCAAAUAAACUGUCACCCAACUUGUUUUCAUGAUUCCAGAAGUGUUGUUGCCUUAAUACAGGUACCAUAUAGGUAACACAGGAAAAUACUAGUACAUAUCAAUGGCAAACAACACUGACUAGCAUUUAUAUUUCCAAAUAGCACAAGAAGGAAGUAGAAAGCACAUUAUAGGAUUUGUUCAAUAGGGAGUUAAUAAAUGGUAAUCCGUUAUGUGAUUAUCAACAAAACCAGAAAAUACAGUGCACAGGCCACAUAUUCCAGAUUAAAUAGGAUGUUUCAAGGGCUUACCAUAAAGAUGAAGAGCCAAGCUAUCUCCCUGUAUGUAGUCUGCUAAGACAAGUCGCUCUUGUUCUCUAGGUCCCCAGUAGUAAGCUCGCAAAGAAACAACAUUGGGGUGCCUUAUUGAUCCAAUCUUUCUUACUUCUUUUGCAAAUUCUUUCUUAUUUUUGACCAAUCCUACUCUCAACCACUUCACAGUAAGCAUAUGACCGUUGUCAAGGGUAGCUUUGUAUAAGGUACCAUGGCUGCUCCUACCAAGAACUUCAGCCGGAGCACGAGACAACUCCUCAGCUGUAAAUGCCAGUGAAGCAUCCAGAAAGAACAGUUCUCCAGCCAAUCGAUCCGGCGAAUACACAUCCAAAAUCACCGGUUGUUCAAAUGUGUCAAUGAAACGGGGUGAGGAAGCAAUUGGAGAACCUGGAGAGGACUUUCUUCCAGAUGUUGCAGGACGAUUAUCUUGUACAUUGGGAUUCACAUAUGUAGAACCAGUUGCAGAACCCUCAGGCAAAACACGUUCAACAAUUUCAGUACUGGAGUCCAGCGGACCUGACAAGGAUCUUGAGUUCGAAGGCAGCAGAUGAUCAUUAGAAAAGCUCAAGGAUGUGGGAGGUGGCUCCUCAGUAUGGAACUUGAAAAGCGAAGGCCGACUAAAUCUUCCUAGUCUAUCAUCUCGACCAGCAGUCUGGCCACUAAAUCUGCCCUGCCCACGGAAGUCAUGGUGCUGAGCUCGAUAGUAUGCCAGUAAAACAAAGGCAAUCAUGACAACAGCUCCGACAGAGGCAACUAUAAUAGCUAUCCUUAUACUAGAUUUCGAGCUAUGAUGUUUUCCUCUAACAUCAAUUUCAUCAGGAACUUUGUGAUGUGGAGAUGAUCCCCCAGGUGGAAGUAUGAGCAAGGUGUUCCCAGGAUGAAAUGAAGAAUCUGGAAAAUGUAUCAAAUUUUCCGGGACUGUCCCCUCUAAAUCAUUGUAUGACACAUUAAAAACUUCAAGUCUUGAAGAAAGUUCAUCAGGGAUCUUGCCCUUGAAAUUAUUAUUUGAUAGAUCAAGAUAUUCCAAGCCAUUAAUUUUGUUCAGUUCACUUGGCAGGUCUCCAGACAUUUGAUUUCUUGCCAGAUUCAGUAAUCUAAGCCUCCCCAAGUUACCAACAUCAGAAGGUAAGAUUCCUGUCAAGGAAUUGUCUGAAAGAUCAAGCAACUCUAUCGGAAAAGAUGAAGGAAGUGCUAAUAACUCACUGGCACCUGAAGCACCAAUAGGAAUUCUUCCAUUCAAAUGAUUUCCAGACAUGUUCAAGCUGGUCAAGGUCAGGGAUUUAAAGAGAGAACCAGGGAGGCUCCCAUCAAGUUUAUUAGAGCUGAGAUCGAGGGUAGCCAGCCUUGGACUAUCCCCCAGUUCGCUAGGCACGCUUCCCACCAAGGAGUUAUUUCUAAAACUUAGCAGGCUCAGCCUCUGCAACAGUGUCCAGUUAGAAAUGCUUCCAGUCAAAUUGUUCGAGCUCAAGUCUAGAACUUCCAAACUGGCUCCCCAAUUAUCCAUUACUCUGAUGUCAUCAGAUAGCAUAUUUCUACUCAAAUCAGCGAGAACACAAUUUCCCAAAGAAGGUGGAAGUGAACCUGAGAGCACAUUGGACGAAAGGUUCAACGUACGCAAUGUAGUCGAGUUAACCUCUUGGAUAGAAUCUGCACAAAUGCCAACAGUUCCUUCAAGAUAUUUAGGACAUCUAGCUCAUGUUUUUGAAAUACAAUCUUAGAUUCAGGAAAGUUGUAAAACAUUGGUAACAAAUUGGCAAAUAUCUUAACUUCUUUUCAUAGACUUGGCUCAAUAGAAUAUUCUCACAUAGGCAGAACAAGAAUUCAAGAAAGGAUAUGAAUGCAUGCCAAAAAAGAUCAAAAUAAGUACAUGCAGAGUGUAAGAGAGCAUCAUUAAACUUCUCUAAUCUCUUCUUUUGUCUUAAAUUCUGCAAAGCAUCUAUGUUAAGCUCAUAAAUAAUUCUGCCAGAUAAUAUGAGUUGGCACCGACAAAAAAAAAGCAAAGAUCAUAUAGAAAGUUUAUAGCUUGAGGCUUCCACAGCACAUCAUCAAAACAUGUAAAAUUUUAGUACUGACAAUUCUGUUGCUCCUGUGUAUGAUUUUUGUUACCUACCCUUUUUGAAGAUAAAUAAGCAUUUUUUUACUUGAAUACAGCAUUAACUUCCAUUUCAAAUAUACUUUUUGGCAUAUGUAAAAUGCAGAAUCUAGUCUUAGUUUUACUUACCAAGUUAAAAUCGACAAGUUUCAAAGAAUUGGACAAAAACUUUAAGAAAUGAUUGCGCUAGGGAUUAAGUGGCAAUCAACAUACUAAUUUCUCAAGUAUCUUGUCAAUAUGACCAAGUAAUGAUCCAAAUAUUCAUGCUCAAAAUUGAAAAAGGGUAGUUCCAGUCCACAAAAUGUUUUGCUCCAAUAAUUUGAAAUUGUUCCAUUCAUUGUCAAAGCAGCCAUUCCUCUCGGACAAGACAAAUCUUUUCCAUUUUUGUGAGAUAAGCUCUUUGUAACAGACAAUGCUAUCAAAUAACUAGACUUGUACAUCAUGCCAAAAAAUUGACAGAAUUUAAGACAUAUGCCCACAGCCAAUUGUUGGACAAAACGUCCAUACUUUACACAAAACCUAAAGGAGGCCCCAUAAAAUUUCUAUAAAUCACUAAUCCAGCAAAUGAAGUAUUCCCAACUCAAAGAACUGCAAAUAAAACUAAUAACAAUCCAAUUUCGGAGCUCUAUAUCAUCCAAUUCCAACACUUAAAAAUUAUAACGACUAACACAUGCAUAAUUACUCUAACAUUUCUAAUAUUCACAGAAGGGCACGAAGUUUUACAACUAAGCAAUCAAAAGGCAGAGUAAAAUCCCAUAAUUAAACAGUUGAAAUUUAAUAACCAAUUCCAUACUCGAAAACUGAUUGCUACUAAGAUCCAACUCCACCAAUGGGACAGGCCCCUGUAAGAGCUCCACAGGUAUAGACCCAUAAAAUUGAUUACUCCCCAACUUCAGAACUUGAAGAAUCGGCAAUGUGGCCAUUGACGGAAGCUCAGCACUGAUCCUAUUAUCACCCAAAUCCAGAGUCCUCAAAUUCCUGAACAAUUGCAUUACAUCCGCUGUGAAAAAUCCACCAGCCAAAUUGUUACCACUCAAAUUGAGAUACUGAACUGUAUUAGCCAGGCUAGAGACAUUCUGAGCACUCAAUGCCAAGGAUCCCACAAACGAAUUUCCACUCAAAUCCACAUACUCCACAUUCCUGAGAACCGAAAAUAAGAAUUCCACGCUCCCACUUAGGAAAUUUUGAUGCAAGUCCAUCACUUUCAACUGAUUCAAAUUAUAGGUACUACCGGGGUACCACCCGGUUAAAUUAUUUCGCGAUAAAUUGAGAUAAUUCAAGCCCCAGAGAUCAUUUAUCCGGUCUGGAAUCGGGCCAACGAAUUGGUUGUUUGAGAGAUCUAAAUGCUGCAGAGUAGUCAUAGUUCCGACGGCCGGGACAAGACGGCCGGUGAAGGAGUUACCAGAGAGAGUGAGGUUUUGGAGGGAUUUUAGGGGCAACAGGGUACUAAACUUGAGCUCACCGGAGAGGCCGAGGCCAGAGAGAUUAAUGGCAGUGAUGGAGUUGGAAGAAGGGUCGCACAAAACGCCGUAGAAGGAGGAGGGGCAAGUGACGUUGUUCCUGGAGCGAAUGGAUGGAUCUAAAAGGGUUUCGUUCCAUGUGGUGAAGAUUUUGUUUAAUGGGUCGAUUUUAAUUCCCUUUUUGAACUCGAGAAGUGACCGGAUUUCGUCGUCCACGACAGCAGAGCAGUGGCGAAGUUGGAGGUGGUGAAGGAGGAGGAUGAAUGUGAGUAGAAGAGAGAGAGUGUGAGUCAUUGGAGUCGAGAGAGUAAGAAAGGACGAUGUGUAUUAGGGGUGAGGCAUUUGACAGGCGAAGGCGGCUGCGGCGGAGAUGAUGGUGGUGGAAAGUGGUGUGAUGGUGCAGAGUUAGGGGCGGUGGUGGAGGUAGCGGUAGUUGGAGAGGAGGCAAAAGGGGAGGGAAGUAAGAGAAUUAGGGUUUUUAUAUUAGGGGAAGAGUGUAUGGGGGAGACUGAGUAGUGCUGUGAGAGUGUGCUGUGCUGUGCUUUGUCUUUCUGUACGUCUCUGUGUGUAGUGUGUGAGAGAGAAAGGUGGGAUUGUGUCUGUGUUAGUAUGACGUGUGUGAGAGACAGAAAGGUGAAAUUGUGAGCUAAUGGUGUGUGAGUGUGUGAUGUAGGAGGACUCUCUGCGCGUUCCAUUGAAAAUGACGCGCUGGUGUCCUUUUCAUUUCGAAAUAUUUCAAAAAUGUUUGUCAUGUUAAAAAUAUUAAAUAAUAAUUUUAUUAAUUUCUCCUUUUAACACGAUCUCAUUCCUUUAAUCAUAUGAAUAUUUUGUUAUUCAAAUUUAGAAUUUGAAUUUAUGGAGGUAAGAUUAGAAAAAAAUACAAAUAUUAUAAUCAAAAUACUAUCCUUAACAAAUUGAAUUCUUAAAACGUGACAAAAAAUUAAGACGACGAUAUACAAGGUGGUGGUUGUACCACGUAUCUUAGUGUGUGAGAAAAAGGUGUGUAUAUUGUGUGAAGUGUGUGAUAGAGAAAGGUGAGACUACGUGUCUUAGUGUAUGAGAGAAAGAUGUGUAUAUUGUGUGAAGUGUGUGAGAGAGAAAGGUGAGAUUGUGAGAGUUCUCUAUGUGGAGUGUGUGAGUCUAUGAGAGAGGGAGGAGGUAUUAUAGUCCAAAUCUGGGGUAAAGCCGGUUUUCAAUUACACAAUAACCCAAAUUAUGACAUAUCACUUUGUGAGACGGUGUUAUUCAAUCUAAGCCAUUGGAUCUUUAAAAGUAGGAUCCACCCAAGUGCGAGCCGGUAUUAUAUGGGUCUAACAUAUAUUGAUUCAUUACAGAGGUGAUUAAAACAAGGAUAAUAUCAGAAAACCUCCCUGAGUUUUCUCUUAGUAGCAUUUAGCACCUUUGAGAUUUUGAAAAUCCCUAGAUUUUGAUUUGAUUUUUAUACUGAUUUAUUACAACUUAAAGGUUUAGGUCAUGGCUUGAGAAGUUGUUGGAAAAAAUAUAGGAUUCAUAAAAAAUUGAUGUUGAUCAUAUAAAGAAUAUUUUGUGUUUUUCAAAUUUAUAUUUUUAGCAAAUAUGACUUUGUGACGUGAUGGUAGUACUUAAGACUGUUUUUUAGAUGGUGAUUUUAAUAGAUUAAACAAAGUCACUUAAGAAUAUUUUUGUUUAGCAAAAGGGUAGUUUAGGAUUUUUUGCAAAUAGCAAAUGUAAGGGAGAUAAGUGAUGUUUUUAAAACCGAAGAGGUAUUAAGUGAUAUUAAGAGAAACAUUAGGAGAAGUUUCUAAUAUUAUCCUUUAAAACAAAGAAAAUCAACAGAGUUUAAUUCAACUAGUAAGGUUCCUUCAUCUUAUAUAAGGGAAAUUUUAGUUCAAAUUAAAGUUGUGAUGCAAAUAGUCUCUUGUUUACAGGUAAUCUAUAAGAAUCACGAUAUUAUUGAAAAACAUGUUAAUGUGCUACCUUAGCAUUAGAAUUGGGAAAUUUUCCACUACUAAACUUUUUCUUAUCAAAAAUUAAAACUAAGAAAAAUAACAGAAUAAAAAAGCUCAUGGGAAAAAAAUAAUUUUCCUACCAAUCUAGCUAGCUUAUUUGCUACACUAGAAAAUAUCAUAAGAAAUGUUGAUAAGAAUGUAAAGGAGGCAGUCUAAAAAAUAAUUCUACCCAAAAACAAGUUUUAAUUUUUUUUUAAAGAUUUUAAUUAGCUAGUAAGAACUAAUGUAUUGCCUUUUAGAGUUUUAGGAAGUUUAGGGAUUUCUUUGUCAGGAGUGAGUACAAGAAAUAAAUGUUUAGCCAGACGAAAAUCAAGAAAUGAGUUCUUGUUAACAAGAUGAAAAAAGUCUCAAAAGCUCCCACACAAAAACUAUUAAUUGUUUGGAUAUUGAAAUUAUUCCAAAUAUUAUUUCGCUUGCAUCAUAAAUAUAUUUUUCAAUCCACUUUUUUAUAUUUCUAACCACCUUUUUAUCUUACAUACAUCACAUUAUAAAAAGUGUUAUAGUUAUUAUUUCAAAUAAUACUCUAUCCAAACAACCUAAUUCUAAUAUCCAUAUUAGGUAUUUUUUAAUUUUUAAUUUUUUAAAAUAUUAUGUUCUCCUCUAUCCAUAUAGGUAUGUAACUUUGUAUAUCUCUGUCUAAUAUUUUCUUAUACAAUGUGAGCUAUGUACAUAAAGAACCCAAGUAGAGAAAAAGGAAAAAAAAAGUGAAUCAUAUAAAUUUAAAAAAAAGGAGGCUUGGGAGAUGGAGAGGGAUGAGCAAGUUGGUUGGUAUAAGGCUGUUACAUAACUACAAUCUGUAAAGGACAGCACAAAAACUGACUCAAGGCCCUACUAGGCACUCACAUGCCUUUUAACCAAUACCUUAAUGGGGUCAAUUUAUUUAUGAUUUUUAUUUGUUGUUUUUUCUCCUUAUCUUUUAGUCAAAAUUUUCUUUUAUGGUUCAUUAACUUUGGAAGUAUUGUAUAUAAAGUACUUUAUAUAAAGUGGGAAUGGAGCUUGGGUUCUUCCUGGUCUUUCGUCCUCCAACUCCUGUGCAAAUCACGUGGCCUGCAUCCCAUUCUUUCUCUUAAAGUUUGUUGCUGCCUUUUUUGUCCUCCGUCAUCAUGCACUAUUAGUCAUCCGUCAUCAUGCAGUAUCUAUCUUCUAUUUUUUCCCCCUCAAUUCAGAUUGGUUACUAACCAUUAUUUGCUUCUUUUUAUUACCCCUGCUGUUUUUAUUACCCCUUCUUUUAUUAUAUAUAUACCUAUACUCUAUUUAGUCUUUUUUGCUCUAAAUUCUUAUCCCUAUAUUAUUUCGGUAUCUAGUAUUUGCUUCUUUUUUAUAUAGUGCCCAUGGUUUUUUUCUCUCCUCCUUUCAAAUAAAUAUUUGGUACAUUUUUUAAACAAUUUUUUCUUUAUCCCAUAUUUAAUAUUACUUGCUCUGUUGUUAUUUCUACCUGACUAUCUUUUUCCCCUUUUGCUCAAAUCUUUUUUUCUUCUUAUUCUCUAUUUAACAUUCUACACUUUUUUCCAUAUUAUUAUAUUGUAUAUGACAUACGUAUCUUCUAUUUAGUCUAUAUUUUUUUUUCUCAAUUCUUUUCAGUAUAUUUUUUCGCUAUCCAAUAUUUGCUUCUUUUUUAUAUACUACCCAUGCUUUUUCCCUUUUUCUCUCCUCCUUUGAAAUCAAUAUUUAGUCCAGCUUUUUUUCCUUAUUAUACUGCUAAUACAAAUGCUGGAUUAGUAUACCAACUAAGCAGACCAUUAAUAAUCGCGCCAUUAAAAGCAGACGCCUUCCUGUUCUCUACCAUUGGUCAGCGGAUUCCCCUCUCAGCAUACGCAGCCAACAAUCCAUUAAUUUUUAUCGGCUCCAUGCAAAAAAAUGCACGUCUUCGGCCAUGCUUUCCCGGGUUCCGGUGCAUGCAAGAGAAGCCAGGUAAUCAUUUCAGCUUCUUUCCCUUGCAUUUCAACUUCCUUUUCUUCUUCCUUUACUUCAUUUUGUUCCUUGCUUCCACUUCUUCUUACUCGCGCUUUUCUUCUCCUCUGUUUCCUCCUACGCCUUUCUUCAAUCAGUGUUCCUGCUAUUUUUCUGCUGCUCGCUGUUACAUCUGCUGUAAGUGCUGCUCCAGUUUCACUGUCCCUAAUCCUGUACUAAUCUUUAUGUUUUUUCCUUUUGUUUUACUUUUUCCCCCCCAAUUCCUUCUACUUAUCCUGCUAAUCCUGCUUACAGCUUUAUUCUGCCUGUCCAUGCUAUUAUUAUUCGUCUUGCAUUUUUUUAACUGCUGUACACUUCUGUUUGUUCUAACGUUUUCACUUUCAUUGCAUUUUUUCCCUCUUAUUUUUUAGCUCACGGCUUAACUUUAGCUGCUACCCACCAUUUUUUGCCCUCUGUUCCUUUUUUUGGUGUCGGCUUCGUGCUCGUACAUUGUGUCUGCACUCUAUCCAUCGUUUGCUUUCUUGGUCAUGUUCGUUUUUCCUUUUUUUGUUAUUGCUUCUACGCUUUGCACUGUUGUGAUGCUUAUUGCUUUUUCCCCUGUCCACUCUUAAACCUCCCAGAUUUUGCCGUCUGCAACCUGCUACUGCUUUCCCUUGUUUCAGCGGAUAAGGUACUUACCAUUCUUCCUGUAGUCCAGUCACUGUCCUUGCUAAUCCAUUAAUCUCUGUGCUUCUCCUUUUAUCGACCAAUGAUUUGCUACUUUUCCCUCCAUUUUUUUAUAUGCCCCGUUAUCUUCUUUUCCUUUUACUUCCUGUCUAAUGUACCUACUCUGCGGUUGGAAAUGCCUGUAAACCAUUCAUGUAGUUCUCUCGCCUGUCUCGUAUCAUAUUGCAUCAUGGAUAGAAAUGCGAAACGCCGAAAACGUUAUGCAGAAAUGCCCCCAGAAAGAAAGGAGGAGCUUUUACGCUGCCAACGGGCAGCUAGCGCGUGUCGUUACGCACAAAUGCCACAGGAAAAAAAGGAUGAUCUUUUACGCCGUCGCAGGGAGGCAAAUGCUUCAAAGAAGAAAAACAUUCCCCCUUCUGUCUCUGAUUCUGUGCCAAACUCCGGCAUUUCUAACAGAAAACGUCCAGCUUCCACUCCUCAAACUCCAUUAGCUCCUGCAGGAACAGUCCUUAGCAUUCCUGUUACUUCUGUGCACUCUGCUUCUAAUCAGAGUACUGAUCUUCUGAGCAGUGAUGCGUUAGCAGGUGGAACUCCAUAUUCUUUAGGAGUUCAGUCAGAAAACGUGUUACCAGGUGUUGAACUAACGCACCUUCUCAGCUCUACAGUUGCUCCAUUGGAAAGUGACCAGCAUGCUUCCUCUUCUGUUGCCGCAAGUUCCAUUCCGUCUGGUUUUCGACAAGGUAGCACUUAACUUUAGUUUUCAGCUUUGCGGCCUUAGUGCCCUUUUCUCAUUGUUUAUUCCUAUUUCUCUCUGCCAUUUGCUAUUGCAGAUUGAACCGUUAAGCUUCUUCUUUUUCCCUCCUGCUUUGUUUUUAAAAAACGCCUCCUGAUUGUCUAUCUGCCUGUUUUCCCUUCGUCAUCUGCAUUCGUUUUGUUCAUCCCUUAUAAUUGUAAUUGUCUUGCUAGAUUCGCAUUACUCCCUUCGCCAUCCUAAUUGUCUUGCUUUCUCCCUUAGCUACAAGCUGUCCCCAUCUUCUUACUUUUAAAAAAAUAUCUUACCUUGUUUUCACUCACAGGGAAUGCAGCUUGCUGUGACAUUGUCACGGUAUGCUCCUGUGUCUACAAAAAACCUGCAGCUCAGUUUGCAGUCUAAUUGUGUCCAUUUAAAUCUCUUAUUAUUGCCUUUUCACCUUUAGUUCUUGUCCAGCGUAUCCAUAAAACAGAGACAUCAAAACUCUGCCCUUUGUUCCAGGUCAGCCGCGAAUAUCUAGGAAACCUAUUCUCCCUCGCUUAGCCAGGAUUCCAGAUCAUUCUUUGAUUCUCCCUGAUUCUCCGAAUUGCCAGUAUUGUGGAGCUAUACGGUUCCAUUUAGAACCUCCUAAUUUCUGCUGUUCAAGGGGGGAAGUUUCACUGGUCACUGCAGCAAUGCCUUAUGAUCUUCGUCGCCUCUUUAUUGGCGAUGAUGAAGAAUGUGACCAUUUCAGGAAAAAUGCUCGUACGUACAACAACAAUGUUUCUUUCACUACUUUUGCUGCAAAGUAUGAUCCAGAAUUGACGAAGAAUAAGCAUGGUGUUUAUACGUUUCGUGUACAAGGCCAGGUUUAUCACUUCCUCGAUGGUUUGGUAUCACAUCGUCAUAAACCAUCGGGUAUUCAGUUAUACUUUUUUGAUACCGAUGAGGAGCUUGCCAGGAGACUUGAUGCUUCCUCUCGGCUCCGCGCAGACACUCUUAAAUUGCUUAUGCGCAUUUUAGCUGCCAAUCCCUAUGCCAAAUUUUUUAAAGAUUUGCGUCAUGUUCCUGAUCUCGAGCGCCAUAGAAUUGUUCUUAAUUGCAAUCCUGCUCUUGAUCAGCGUUUGUAUAAUCUUCCAUCCGCUUCUCAAGUAGCCGCUAUAUGGACCGAGACUGAUGAUGAAUCAGUUGAUAAGUCAGUUCAUAUUCAGGUUUAUAGUCACUCCGAUCAGAGUCAUAUGAUUAAGCAUUACUAUGCUUGCUAUGACUCUUUACAGUAUCAUUUAUUAUUUCCUCGUGGUGAGUCUGGAUGGCACCAUGGAAUCCAAAGGAUUACGUGCGAAAAUAGGAAAAGAUCCCGUCCUGUUUGUGAAGCUGAUAUUGCUAUUGAUCCAGCAUCUAUCGGUAGUCCAUCUGAUUUGAUUAAUCUGGAACAAAGAGGCAAGUAUAAACUUAGUUUCUUAGAGGCAUGGUCAUAUUUUUCAAACAUAUUGUCUAUUUCUCCAUGUUGUUAAUACGUAGUUCCAUUUUGUUUCAGCCGCUGAUCGUGGCAAGAAACAGAAAACUAACGUCACUGCUAGGGAAUACUAAUGUUAUAGGUUUCAAAUGAGACAUGAUGAUGAGUCCAUGUUGUUACAUGCGCUGAGAUUGUUGCAGCAGUAUGUUGUUGAUAUCUACGUUAAGAUAGAGACAUCUAGGCUUGAAUUCCACCGGAAAAAACAGAAUACCAUACGGACUGAAGCUCUUCAAGGAAUAAUGGAUAGUGUCUCUUUAGGCCAAACGUUAGGUUCUAAAGUUGGCCGGCGAAUAUAUUUACCAGCUACUUUUCUCGGAGGCCCGCGGGAUAUGAGGCGUAGAUAUCUUGAUGCAAUGGCUCUGGUCCAGAAAUAUGGAAAACCUGACAUUUUCUUGACCAUGACAUGCAAUCCCCUGUGGCCAGAAAUUAAGGCACAUUUAAAGUACAAAGAGAAACCUCAGGACAGGCCUGAUCUUUUAGCUAGAGUGUUCAGGGCAAAGUUUGAAAUCCUGAAAACAGAGUUGGUUACAAAGAAAUUAUUUGGAGACGUUGCAGCAUAUGUUUAUGUUAUUGAAUUCCAAAAAAGAGGCUUCCCUCAUGCUCACCUACUGCUUAUAUUGAAACCGCAGUUUAAACCUCUUAAUCCAGAGGCCUAUGAUAAAAUUGUUUCUGCUGAACUGCCUGAUCGUCAAGAACAUCCUCAUCUUUAUUCUCUAGUUGUAAGGCACAUGAUUCACGGCCCUUGUGGAAAAAUGAACAAAAACAGCCCUUGUAUGAAAAACGGUGUUUGCAAAAGUCACUAUCCAAAAGGGUAUUCUGAACAUACGACUCACGGCGAGGAUAGCUAUCCGAAUUAUCGUAGGCGAGACGAUGGCAAGAAAAUCCGAGUCAAAGGCUAUGAUUUGGAUAAUAGGUGGGUCAUCCCGUAUACUCCGUACUUGCUAGCUCUGAUUGAUUGUCACAUCAAUGUUGAAAUCUGUUCAACCAUCAAAUUAGUCAAGUAUUUAUACAAAUACAUAUUUAAAGGCCAUGACCUUGUCAACUUCCACAUCAUAGCUGAUGAAACACCUCAGGAUAUCGAUGAGAUCAAGGAAUUUCAGCGAGGUCGUUGGGUUUCUCCUCCAGAAGCUUUGUGGCGGAUUUAUGCAUUUCGCUUGAAUGAAAUGACCCCUGCUGUUUACAGUCUUCAGGUUCAUCUUCCUGGUCACCAAUAUGUUUCCUUCAAUCAGGAUUCUGAUCUUUCACAACUCUUAGAGAAAAUUGACUUCUCCAGAACUAUGUUAACUGAGUUCUUUAGAAUGAACCGUGUAAACAAAAAAGCUCAGAGCCUCAGAUGUUUGUAUAGAGAUUUUGCUCAGCACUUUGUGUGGACACCUGCUACGAGAAAGUGGACAGAAAGAAGUAAGCAUAAGGUUAUUGGCAGGUUAGUCACUGUCAAACCAAGCGAAGGGGAUAGGUAUUAUUUAAGACUUUUUCUCUCACAUGUUCGCGCUCCUACAUCCUUUGAUGACUUGUUGACAGUUAAUGGAUGUAAAAUGAAUUCGUUUAGAGAGGCUGCUUUAGAGCUUGGCCUCUUAGAAUCUGAUUCCUAUAUUGAGGCAACACUUGAAGAAGCUGCUGGUUUUCAGAUGCCUUUUUCGCUUAGAUUUUUAUUUGCUACUUUGCUUUUGCAUUGUGCUGCAACAAAUCCAAGUCUUUUGUGGGAAAAAUUUGAAAUGGAGAUUUCUAGAGACUUCGCACGAGCGCAGGUACAGACUCAUUGUUCAGCUGCUGAAGUAAGGCGGAAAGUUCUGUUUGAUAUUAACAAAUCGCUCCAGCAUAUGGGGAGGCAUAUCAGUGAGUAUAAGUUGGUUACAGAUUCUAUUACUCUCAGCUGUCAUGAAAGCAUGACCAAGGAAGUAGACAGUGAAAUGAAUAUUGUGGUGUCGUCGGAAGAUCUCUUGAUAGCUUCUAAGUUAAAUGCAGAGCAAAAACAUGCUUAUGAUUUGAUAUUGCAGUCUGUUUUUUCGUCCAAAGGCCAGAGUUUUUUCAUUGAUGGUCCAGGGGGGACCGGAAAAACGUUUUUGUAUCGCUCUCUUCUUGCGACACUUAGAUCGCAGGGAUAUAUUGCGAUAGCUGUAGCAACUUCAGGAGUUGCAGCAUCACUUCUUCCUGGAGGAAGGACUGCUCACUCCAGAUUUAAAAUUCCGUUGGACUUUUCCAGAAAUAAAACGUGUCAGUUGAGCAAGCAGAGCAGCAUGGCACAGUUAAUCAUUGAAUGUAAGUUAUUCUUGUGGGAUGAAGCAUCAAUGGCAAAAAGAGACACUAUUCAAGCAUUUGACGAAUUGUUGAAAGAUCUAAUGGAGACUAGCGAUCCUUUUGGAGGUAAAGUUGUAGUUUUUGGGGGCGAUUUUCGCCAAACUCUCCCCGUUAUUCAAGGAGCUACCAAGGACCAGCUAAUUCAGGCUAGCCUCCUGCAUUCUUCAUUAUGGUCUUGUAUGCACAAAAUAAAGCUAAAACACAACAUGAGGGCUGUCUUAGAUCCUGCCUUUUCGCGAUUCUUGCUCGCUGUUGGGGAAGGUGCAGAACCUGUUGAUGCAGAUAACCAGAUUUGCUUACCAGGUCAUAUGGUUAUACCAUUCCACAAUAUAAAAGAUUCUUUAGACAGGUCCUCUCCAUUUCCUGUGCUUCAUCGCGCAUUCCUGUCCUUUUUCAUCUGUAUUACUUCGUUUAUCUUUCACAGAUUUCUAACAAAAAAAAAUUUCGCCCAGGCUGAUAGCUUACACGUUUCCAGAUUUGAAUCUCUACUCAUCUAAUCCGUAUGAGAUGAUCAGUAGAUGUAUUUUAACCCCAAAAAACACCUCUGUUGAAGACAUCAAUGAAAUGAUGAUUCAGAGGUUUCCUGGACAGCUUUUUACUUAUACAAGCUCUGACCAAACUGUUGAUCAGAGAUUCCAGGCAGAUUAUGAGGACUUUUUGAAUUCUCAAAAUCCAAAGGGUCUUCCUCCACACAAGCUCAUGCUAAAAGAAAGUUGUCCCUUAAUCUUGCUCAGAAAUCUAAAUCCAGCUGAAGGAUUGUGCAAUGGCACAAGACUUAUUUGUCGGCAGCUAAGACGGCACACUAUCUGUGCUGAGAUAGCUUUUGGUCAGUAUAAAGGGAAAAAGAUUUUCAUUCCCAGAAUCCCAUUGCAGACACCUGAUAAUGAAAAAAAUGGGAUUCCAUUCAUCAGAAGACAAUUUCCAGUUCGCCUUUGUUUUGCAAUGACAAUUAACAAGGCUCAAGGCCAAACUCUUGACUAUGUUGGUGUAUAUCUAAAGGAGCCCGUAUUUUCUCAUGGCCAACUAUACGUUGCCUUGUCCAGAGCAAAGACUGCUGAUGCAGUUAAAGUCCUCAUACUUCCAGGAACUUUUGCUGAAAUCAAAACUGACUGCAAAACAAGAAAUAUUGUGUUUGAUGAAAUAUUGCAGUUGUCUAAUUGAUCACUUGCACUGUUCGUAGGUAGCUUGCACAUUUAAAUGUUUUUAGCUUUUGUUUUCAGAACUUAUACUUUGAUUUUACCUUCCAAACUGAAAUCCCUUGCUUAUUUACUCUUAUUAUUGCUAACGAGUGCAGGAUGUGCACUAUAUUAUCUAUCAAUGAUGUUGAGGUCGGUAUGGAGAAAUGGACAGCAAAGGUCACUGUCCAGGAGAAACAGCAAGUUACCUCAUCACUUAGCACACCAACUAGGAAACAGAAGUUUAUCUUCAUUGAUUCUGAGGUAUUCAGUGCACUUGACCUUCUAUUCUCAAAAUCUUAUGUGAUAAACUUAGGACUUUAAACGCUGCUCAUUUGUCGACCAUCAUAAUAUUUCUUUUCCAGGGAUCAAAGGUUGAAGGCAUCAUAUUUAAUGCUGAUAUUGCUAUAAUGAGCCCUAGAAUAGAGGUUUACAAAAAAUACCUCAUCUCCAAUGCUCAGGUCAAAAGAAUCCCUGAAAACUUUAGAACCACUGAGCUAGCAGUCCAAUGGAUAAUCACCAGUCGAACAAUUAUUGAAGAGAUUGUAGACAAUGAGGAUGUUAUGGCUGCAAAGUUUACGUAUACAAACUUUACGGACUUGGCACAGUACAUGGACCGCAAGGACAUUUCUGUUGGUCAGUAGCUUUCUUUUUAACCAUACUGAUGUACCUUGGUUAUUAUAUGCUUUAAGUCUUAUUUUUUGAAUUCCUCUCACUAGAUAUUAUGGGAAUUGUUAUUGCUGCUUUGGAUGAAAAAACUGUCACCGUAAAUUCAAAGGAAGCACAAGUCCAAAAACUAGUUCUUGUUAAUGAAGAGUAAGGAAUCUUUGCUUUUGUAUACAAUGACUAUCUGGUGUUGCAGAUUGCAGCCUUUUCCAAACAAAAAAAUUAAUAGUUUCUCUGUUUCAAAUAUGUCAGAUUGCAGACACUUAUGCUGUCUAUGUGGAAUGCUUUUAUUGACAAUGAAGGCUCCAAGAUUAUUUCGGAAAUUCAGAACUAUCCUGUUCUUAUUGGAAGAAGGCUAAAGGUUCAAAAUUAUAAUGGUGAGUAUAACAGUUGCCGGUUACAUGUUUUGCCAUCUAACCUUUUCCAUCUGUUCAUUUUUUCAAAUCACAUGUUGCUUCCCCUUUUCUUUUUUUAAGGAGUGGCUCUUUCUACUUGGUUUGAUUCAGCAAUUCUUGUGAAUCCACCUGUCCAAGAAGCAAGGGAACUCAAGAACUGGUUCUGCUCUUAUAGUUUUCAGUAUUUGUUGCUUAUGGACUUUAUAUACAUUAUCUGUUUCUUGACAAUCAGAGAUACUUACGAGCUGGUGCCACUCUUUUAUUUUUCAACCUCGAGUACGCAAUAAAAAAAUGCUCUUUUCCCUGCUUGCCUUACCAUUUUAAUAACCUAUACACAGGGCAAGUAGAAAUGCCAAAUGCCUUGCAGACAUUGUUGCAAAGAGAACAUACAGUCGAUACAAUCCUGAUCUCUCUUUCCAAGCAGAUCAAAAAAUUACUGAUAUAUCAAAUAUCAGCUCAAAACACAAGGUACUGUCUUGAUUGCAGCAUUAUCAGUGGAUUUCAGCCUUCAAAUAGUUUGACUAAUUCAUAUACUAGCUUUAUUCUCAGAAUGUGUGGGUGAAAGCAUCAUUCUCAUUUGAUCACAUUUUUCAAAAAUUUUGGUACAUGGGGUGUGAAAAUUGCUUCCGCUCCACGUCUGCUGACUAUGGUGUCUUGUUCAUGUGUAAUACUUGUAAACAAAAGCACAAGUCUGAACCAAGGUCUGACCAUCAUUACUUUAUUUGUUUCUUAUCAUUUCUUCUGCUACUGCUCAUUACAUUAUCAUUUCUUUUCCUCUGUUGUGCCUUAUAUAAAACUUGCAUAUUUAAUAGGUGUAAAUUUGAUGUUGACCUCUCUGAUGACACCGGAACAGUCACAGCCACAAUGUUUGGCGAUUUAGCUGAGAAACUGCUAACGUUCACAGCAAAAGAAGCAAUGGAGCAUUAUUUUCAGGUUUACUCUUACCAUGCCGCGUCAGCACAUAUGUAUGUGUAUUUAUGUAUAUGUAUAUAAAUUCUUUUGUUUUGUCCACUGCAGAAUAUGGUGUUACCACUUGAGGUUCUGCAUGAAGACCUAAAAUCCAAGAAAUUCCUUGCGUACAUUAGACCUGUACAGGUUCCCUUGGCUGAUGCAAAACAACGUUUCACAAUGGUAUACUACAAGGAAGCUUCUGAUGAACAAGUUUCUGUUACAGGCUCCAGUGAACAGGCCUUUACUUGUCCUUCAUCAGGUUAUAGCCUUUACUUAAUCAUCUUUGUUUCACAUGUGCAUGAAUAGACCUAUUUGUUUUUCUAUAGAAGAGGCAUCUUACUGAAUCAGGUAUGGUUACUACUUUUCAGCAGGCGGAACGUCUUCUUCAAAAGCUAAAGUUUGUCUUCUUCAAAAAUUUGACGAGUCAGAUGAGCAGAGGCAAUUAAGCUCUGAAGCUCUUCAGACCAGCCCCAAGAAAAAAGCUAGACAAGCUUAGAAUUGUUUCCUUUCCAAGCAAACUAUCUUUUUUCCUGCGUUGGCUCCUAGGUGCCUUUUUGUGUGGUGAAGGACACCAAGUCUCAACAUUUUUAAGACCACUAUCAUGCUACUGAUAUGCCUUGCAAAUGCUCAGGGAUUUUCAUGAUUCUGAACUUUGUAUUUCUACACACUCUUACGUUUUGCCUGUUAAUUUGCAUGCCUUUUGCAACUUAAUUUGAAAACGCCAUAAUCUAUAAUGUUACCACAUCAAGUACAAUAAUCGCUAUAAUCAUCCUGUACCAUUCAUUUUGUUUGGAAUUAGCAUUGACUGCCAGCAGCAAAGAACGUUCCACUCUCCAGUGCAUUUAUCAAAGCUUUUACCUUUCCAAUUCAUUCCUUCUGGAACAAUGUGCGAUGACUUAACUGUUGCCUUCAAACAUCAAACCACGCUGCAUCUUUCCAAGACUGCCUUUUCUGCAUCCAUUACUGAUCCUACAGCUAUUAGUUCAGCCACUUUAAAUAAAUUCACUGGUUACCAGAUACUCUUACAGGCCAAUUAAUGCUAUCUGUUCAUGUUAUGAAGGCCCUAUAUAUAUAUUUGCCAAGAACAACCUUCUAAAAUAUUCAGCCUCAAAAGCUAAUUACACUUAUAACAACCAAGUAUGGAGUUCUCUGAAAGCGUUGAAUCCUCCAGUCUUCCGCCAAAUAUUACCGGCAGCAUGGAAUGCUGCUUCUUCUUUAGGAGUAGCGGUUCUAAGCAGGUACUUUUGAUUCUGUAUAGUUUUUUUCCUCAUGACAUGUGCCUUCUUUAACGAUAACCAAAGUUUUUCAAAAUAAUUAGAUAUUCCCUGCUCAAUUUCUGCUGCUUCUAAGAAACCAUCAACAGCGUACAAUAACUAUUCGAGAAGGCUAUAGAACAUGGACUAUCAGCAUUUUAGAAACUUGGUUUGGAGAAGGUUGGCAAGACUUCUGCGAGAAUAAUAUCAUCCAUGAAGACGACACAAUGUUCCUUCGACAUUCCGGAAACUUGGUGUUCGACGUCCUCCAUUACUCAGCAACAAAAACGCAUGGCUACUUACCUUGGAGUCAUCCACUACCUAGUUUGUUGGAUGCUCCAGAACAUGUUAUCGCAAAAAGUUAGUUUUCUCAUGCUUAAACACUUCCAAAUUUUUAGCAUUGUCCUUGUUUAAUUUGCUAGCUUUGUACGCUUACCUUUUUUAUGAAACACAGAACAAAGAAUGCAUUGUCAGAGAGUAGCAUCAGCAAUGAAACCAGAUUUCGUUCAAGACAUCGCUGAUGGUCUAUCAUUCUAUGAGAUCUUCACUCAGGAAAACCAACAUAAUUUUGUAAGCUUCAGUUAUCUCUUGUUUUAUUUUUUCAUUCGCUGCUUUCUUUCCCACUAAUAACUUUUUCCUUUUGGUGAACAACAGAAAGUGCCCAAAUUUGUAUCCUUCUUCAUACACGGUGACAGAACUCCUCUGGUCACCCUACGAACUGGAAACAAGACAAUCACUGUUGGAAUGCGUCGGAGACGGUUUGCAACAAAUUGGAACACAUUUGCUUUUGAGCAUCAGCUACAAUUUGGCGACGCUUUAGUAUUUAUCCCUGAAACAAAGUCCUGCUAUACUGUCCUCAUCUUCGACAAGCGUGGAGUCGAAAAGUUGUUCCCCUGGUACAAUAAGUUCUGCAUCUUCUCUGAUGCACCAACCAGUAAAACUUAGCCAACUUCUUUUACGUUUAUUCCAGGAGAAACCUUGUCCUUCUUAUAUGUUCACUAAGCAUGUGAAUGCCAGCUUCUAUUGUCUUUUAUUUUUUCCAUAGGGAAUUUACCUUUGCAGUACGCAGAUUUAUUCCAACCAUUCAGGGAAUUGCAGCCAAAUUAAUGUUCUUUAAUUCUAUCAAAUACAGGAAAUUAUUUUGCCUGCAUGGAGUUAUCUCUUCACUUUAAAUGGCUACAAUUUUUUAUAAACUUGUUGCACUAACAGUGGGACAAAUAUUUAAGUUUAUUAUAUUCUACUUUAAUUAUCCCCUUUUUAACUAAUGCCAGGUUCUCCAUUUCCUUAAUUUAUAAUUGCAUUCCGCUGCUCACCAAAUCCCACGUAAGAUGGCAACAAAUAAAUUUCUGCUAGCCUUUGGAUUCUUGAUUUAGAUGGCUGUGUCAUUUGAAUUAAUGGUUAGUGUAUCCUUUUUUCCAUCUUUUUAAUUAUCUCCCCUACACCACCUAAUUUUUACUCAACAUACUACAAAUACAAAUUACAGUACUUUAUUAAAUUCAUGCUCUGUAACGCUCCUCCUGGGCAUUACAUUAAUUCUUUACCGUGCGCAAGCACGGUAUAUUUCUGCUAGUUAUACAAAAAGGUGCAGGUUGACUUGACCAAUUUGGAGUGCAAUAAUUUUAUUUUUCUACAGUAGAUGUCUUUGUAAGGGGACCUGGGCUAUUGGUAGUGACCCUUUUUAUGCUUUUUUUUUUUCAUAAUUGGACAAUUUGGAAGAUUCCUUCUGAUUUGGACCUCUGAAUAUUUACAAAGUGUGACAGUAAAAUAAGAAGUAUUUCUUGUCCAAGCUUGCAAAGGUAUCUUUAGAAUUUUGAUUCUCAAUAUGCCUCUUGUCAUGUUUUGACCCAUUGAAUUGCUUUCGUGUCACCAAAUGGGAGAGGAGAUGAUAUAAAAUUUAGAGCCAAUUUAACGGUGCUCGUUAAAAUAUAUUUCAGGUAUUAUAUUUUUUUAAAUUGUAAGAUUAAUUAGAAAAAAUAAAUAAAUACAAAAGAGAGCCGGUAAGAUUAGACAAGAAAGCAUAUAAAUGCAAGAGAGGAUAAUAAUUGUUAGUAUAUUUAUAUGCUGAUAGGUUAAGUAAAUUUUAAAUGUGUUAAUGAAUGCCGAAUGGACAACCAUUAGAAAAAUCCUAAAAAUUAUAUCAAAAUCCACUAGAAUUCAUACAUUCAAUAAGUUCCUUUUGGACAAUGUCAUGAAUAUUUUAGUACAAGGAAAAAUGUGCAAAGACAUUUUAUUUGCUCAUUUUCCCUUUUGAAAGAUGUAAGUAAUUUUCAAUUGACAUCUUUUUUUUUUUUUGGGUAAAACUUGAAAGAAUUUUAAACAAAAAUCUAAAACAAAGUUUUUAUUUUCUUGAUUAAGGUUCAACUUUCAGCCUCAGGUGGGUGAUUGAAGUAACUAAUAAAGAACAAAUCUAUAUUAGGGUGUUUGACCGUUGGUACAACAUAACUCUAUGAUUAACAUACAAAAUUCUCUCUAAUUUCUAUAGCUAACUAGUUUUGUACCCAUUCGUUGAACGGGAAUCGUCGAAAAAUAAUAAACUUUAGUCAAUUUAUAAAAAUGUCGAUAUAAAAUACAUAUUUAAUGUAUAAUCUAUUAUAACUUGUCUUAAGUAUAUUACUAUGUGCGCAUUGUAAUGUAAAGUAUUUUUAUAAUAUAAAUUUGAACAUCUAAUUCAGUGAAUAAUAAUUCAAAAAUAGAAAAAAUAACAUUCAACAAUACCAUAACAUUCAAAAACUUGAAAAUAAAUAAAAAGUGCAGUAAAUAGUAUCAAAUAAUAUUCUACUAUUCAAAAACUUGUUUUUAUUUUUUUCUGUUUGAACAUUCUCCUCGAUUUGUCUGUGCAAAUCAGCAUUUAUUGAUUUUCUAUUAUCAUUGCAUGAUAGCAAAAUAGGAUAACUAAGUAUAAAAAAAUAAAUGAUUUAUCGUAUUCAAGUUUGUGUAUAACAAUACGUAAAGAUUAUAAUUAAGUAAACGACCAGACUCUUUUAAUUAACUAAUGAACUUGCAGAUAUAUCUAAUAGAGAUAUUUAUAUCUCUUGUAUUUAUAUCGCAUUACUUUCCAGUGCCUUUUGUUUUUGGUUGUUUUUCCUGAAGGCAAAUUAACAAACAUCGUAGUAUAUGAUCAUAAAAAUCAAUUAACAAACAUUUUAUCAUUUAUUCCUAUAAAAAUAUAUUAUCAUUUAUUCCUAUAUAUCUAAUAGAGGAGAUUUAUGUCUCUUUUAUUUAUAUCGCAUUACUUUCCAGUUCCUUUUUUGGGUAGGAAAUAAGAAUCAUAUAAUAUUAAGAAUUUUUAUAGAAAAUAAGAAUUGAUAUAUAUCUAAACAAAAAAGGAGCAAACCACGUAGGAAACUACUUACCGUCUCGUUAAGCCACGUAGGAAAGAGAAAAUAUAAAGGGAUAAGUAUGAGGGUACGACUUUAUUAUAUAUAUAUAUAUAUAUAUAUAUAUAUAUAUAUAUAUGAUAUAGACAAUCUGUAUACUUUCCAUCUUUUCUAGUCAAGCUAAAUACAAUGUGAUUUAAGCCAAAAAAAAAAAUAGAAGAUUUUUUUGGCAUAAUAUUGUUACUCGAGUUGUAUUUAAAAGUUAUUUUUGACAAAUUCUAUGUGAUUUGAGUCAAAACCAAUGAGAGAUUUUAAAUAAUCCACAUAAUUUGGCAAAGCACCAUCUUGAGUUACAAUGGAAGAAUUUAAACUUCACAUUUACUCCCACUAUUAGAAUGUUCUCUUCUCUGAAUCUGAUUCCUUUAUUAGCAGAAUCAACUAAUAACGUAGAAUUUAUUUGUGGCCUAUGUAUGGGAUAGUAUCACUUAUACUACUUAUAAGUCUAAAAUAUCAUAAGGGCAAAAUUUUCCUCCAAUGCCACAUAUUUUACUUUUUUAUUACAAACUUUCUGCUAAUCAACUUUAAAAUAGACCACUCAACUUUUACAACUUUCAAUUUUGUAGAAUAUUUGACGGCCAUUUCGACCUAUUAUUUUUUUUUUUCACUAAGUACUCUUUUAUUAAUCGUGCCUACGUACAAAAAUUAUGUUAAUGAAAUGAAAGGGCAAGAAGAUGCCCAUUGGCAAACCGGUGAUUUGGGCUUUGUCAAAUGCCAAAACUUUAGGUGGAAAAUUUCUAAUUUAAAGGUGCCAAAAUUCUAUGGAAAGAUGCCAGUGGUUAAGUUUGCAAGAUAGAAGAAAUUUUGGGGUGCAAUUCUGAAAUUCUGAGAAUGAGAGUACUGAUUUGUUCGGGGUGGUAAAAAAGAAACAAAAUAAAUUUCAAAAUUCAUGCCAGCAUAUUUUAGCUCGAAUCAAGCUCCGGUGGUGGUAUACCAUCCGAACUUGACCAGAAAACUAUUUAACUUUCGCAGACAAACUCCAACUUCAAUAACUUUUGAGGAUAAACCACGAAUAUGUUUAAGUCAAAUUAGUAAUAGCCAAAUCCAAUUAUCUAAGGCAUUCCAUAUUAAUUUGCAUACUACUUGUAUGUAGUAUUGGGUUAGUUCAAUAACUCUUGAACAUAAACUGCGAAUACAAAGUAUAAUUUUUUUUUAAUCUAUUGUAUCCGUUAAUUUUUUGGAUCAUUAAAGUACUAAUGAAAGUAAAUAUUUUUUUUUUUGUAGGAAUGAAAGUAGCACUAACACUCUAACCAACUUUUAAAAGAAGGAAAUUAAUCGGAAGAAGUCAGUUGCUUUUUAGUUGGAAUAUUGCAGUUUUAUUUCUUUAUGUCUUUCACUAGUCUCAAUUGAGUCUUUUGUGUUUCAAUUUGUACUCAUGCCCACUUAAUUAGUAUCCUGCAUAAUGACCAAAAAUAAAAUAAAACAUAAACUUGUAUCCCUCACAUUUGUCCUACAUAUCUUAUGCAGUUUGAUUAAUGUCAACUUAGGUCUUGUUUGAUAACCAAUUCAGCAAGAAACUUAAUGUUAAGGUAGUCUACCCUCAAAAAAAAAAAUGUUAAGAUAGUCUAAACCGAACAUGUAAAUUAAUUAAUAAUAAAAAGAACAUCUAAAUUAAUUAAGUACGUUAUACUGAAAUUUCUAGACAAAAUUUGAUCCAAAAAAUAAUUGAUAGGCUAUUUACUUAUCAUUUAAUGUGUUAUACAUUUAAAUGUAUUAGAUUUUGUACUUAACAAUUUAAUAAAUUAAGACUUCAGACUCUGAUGGAGAUAAUCCUUACAUUUAUUGGGCAAAAUCAUUAAAAAAAAAAACUAGUGAAAGUAUCGUACAAAUUCAAUUACAAUAUCAUUUCCUUGGUUUUUUAGAUCAUAAGGUCCAAUUGUCCAAUUAUGUUCAAUGGUUGAUAUCCUAAUCAGUAUCACAUGUACAGGGAUCAAGAAUGCAGGCUUCUCCUACGUGUGCAUCAAGUCAAUUUACAAAAUUUCAUUUGUGUGUACAAAAAUAAUCAGCUUCAUACGAAAGUAUUUAUCAUAGAUCAAUAUUAAUUAGAUAUUUUUUCGUAUGUAAUUAUUCCCAAAAGAAAAGAAAAAAUAUGGUUUGUCAAAAAUGUUCUUGAACCAUUUCAUCAAAAGCUACGUUAUCCAGAAAUUUCUUCUGCUAACUAAUAUGACCCCAUUUAUACCCCAAACUCAACGAGGGCAAGGCCCUCCAUGAUGUAGGGUUUUCUUGGGCUAAUAUGACUCCAUCAAGCAUCUUUUGAUGUUAACUAACUAAUAAUAUCUAAAUUGUGAGAUCUCAACCUCAGUAAUAAAAUUUCUGUUUGCCCUUUUUAUCAAAAACAAAAAAAAAAAAAAAAAAAAAAAAGAAGAAGAAAAGUGCGAGAUGAGAUCUCAACCUCUGUGGAGCAUCUUUGGGACCAAACAAAAAAUCACCCCCACCCAAAAACACACUUCCUUUUCCAUUGUGCCUGUGUUUGUUUAUUGCCAUAUUUUAGUUACAAAACACCAAAGACGCCAACCCAUUAUCUUGAUGAUCGAGCUUCCUGUUGUGGAAUCACAAGACAGCUCGAAACCCUUUGAAGAUUAGAUUAGUCGCUCAAGAUAUCAUAAUCAAAUCAUCCUUAGAUUGUCCUCUUUUGUUACUAUAAUACUACUACUAGACUUUUGACUCCUUUGUCCUAGCUAGUACAAAGAAAACAGCAGAUAUAUCAUUGUCACAUAUGUUCAAAUCUUUCCUUGAGACUCUCUCUUUACUGUUUGAAUACCAUGAAACUUACAAGCGUGAUUUUCUUUCUUAUCCUGGCUACCUUCUUGUGUUUGUUGUUUCUUACUCUAGGCAAAGAAGAAUCAAAUCAGAUGGUGAUAGGUGGUUCUGCAAGCUCCACCAAUACAGUAAGUGUUGCGUUAGCAUAAAGUCUGUAAAACAGCCCAAGAUAGAUGAAUAUUAUUAAUGGGUUUUUGUUUAUCUUCUCAAUGAGUUGGAUGCAGGUAAAAGCUGAGUGUGAGAAGGAGAAUAGUGUUCAUGAGUGCAAACAAGGCAAGAUUAAUGGAUCAGAAGAUAGUAAUACGAUUUUAGAGAAUGAAGACUACAUCUAUACUCAGUCUCUUCCCUAAGUAGGUGAAGAUUUGGUUUCCAUCAUAUAUAUUUGUCCUGAUCAGUUCUUUUGACUAGUAUUCAAGGCAAAAAACAAAAAAAAACAAAGAAAAAAUGUGCCCAACUAGUGCUCCUCCUUCUUCCUUGUCUUUAAAGAAACUUUGCCAAUUCGUAAGAUGAAAUCUUCAAUAUUCUUCACUUUAUUUUGUUUGCAUUGCAGUACUCAAGGAAAAUGGUUAUCCAGCAGGUGAUUUUGCACUUUUUUUUUUUCUUAGGUUUGUUAUGAGGCCAAAUUGAAUUGUUGAAUAGCAUCAGAAUUCUUUAAAACUCGCAAAAACACACCAGUCUGGCAGAUCUUGGCGAGCGCUCUUAGAUAUUAAUAACAAAAACAGAAAAACUCAAAAGUGAUAUUUAAUGGAUUUGUAGCUGUAUCUAAAUCUUCUUGAGCCAUUAAUUUAAAGAUUUAAUUUUGAUUUUGUUAGCAUUGAUUUUGGUAAGGAUUGUGCCGUCCAUAUUGGUUAUUGAUCACUUCAACUCGAAGGAGGAGUGGCCAUGCAGUACCUAUACUCCAAAGAAGUUAAAACACAUGCAAAUGAAGCUCCCAUUCAUGAAGAAUGAAGAAGAUCCAUUGCUAUUUAGCUAAAUGUUACCCAAAAAAAAAAAAUUUUUCCCAAGAAUUCAUAGGCAUAUAUUGGAUUUAUAGAGCGCUCUAAACAAAGAUAUAUGCAUCAUCACGAACUUAUUUCAUGAUAUAACAUUAUAAGACAGUCAUUCCUAUUUUAAAAAGAAAAACCAAUAUUUAACUGCCAAAGUAAUGUUUUUAUUAAAUGGCUAUUGAAUUCAUUGUCAAAUAUUUAUUUGCUUUGAUUUAUUGUACUUAAUCAAAAGUAUUUUCCCAUUCAUUAGUUUUAUCUGCCGAUCCUAGAGCUUAUAUUACUUUAAACUCCUUGUGUAUGUAUAGGAUUUACUAUUUAUUCUUCCUUUCAAGCUACAAGCUUGGUUGCUCUCAGGAUCUUGUUGAGAACCAUGGCAGAUAAUGAUAUGCUGCUAUAAGCAUAGAAAUGUAAAUUGAAAGGAACAAGUAGGGAAAAUUGAUUUCAUCAGGGGCUAUAACGAAAUCAUUCCUUCCAAGGAUCACAAAACCACCAACCCAAAAAAAAAAAAAAAAAAAGAGAGAGAGAGAUGAUCUGUGGAUCUCAAAUACCCUUGCACUGCUAUUUUUUGUGGGCUAGCAAAAGCAAAUGCAAAGUCAAAAUUGUGCAAGCCCUUUGAUGAUUCUUUUGGUAGCAAUUGAGAUCUUUUUUUUUUUUUUUGGGCAAAGAUUAGAGCCAGAUGACCGGAUCUAUAGAAUUUCUUGUUUCCACUAAGAACUGAGAAUAAUAAAAUUACGGAUAAAAGCAAUGCAAAUGAAGGCUGCAUUACCUGAUAUUGUGAUUCGCCCGGAAAAUUACAAAAGAAGAGAUUAAUCGGAUCAAAAGCCUCUUCUGUUGAAUUACUGUCUAAUUAUGUAAUUUUUAUAAUAUUUGGUGUAAAUUGAUACAACUUUAGUGUAAAUUUUGGAGAAUUGAGUUUGUCAGGUCAUGAAACUAAACUAAAAUAAAAAAAUCACGAUUGCAUCAAACUAUACGAGCUUACAGUAAAAGUUGUAAGAGUUAUAUAAAAUAGACCAAAAUGAACAGAUAUCAACCGGAGAGGCACCUGAUCUACGUUAAUCUCGUUGGUGGAUGAGGAUUCAAAUCAAGCCAGAUUAGAAGGUGCAAAGAUAAGAGGAAGAGUAUUGAGUUAAAAAAACUCAUAAAGAAAAAGAAAAAGCUAAAACUUGGCAACUUCUCAAGAAAUAUGUAGUACAUGGAUCUCCAGCAAGUCUCACUGCAGUAAUUGGUUUGGCACAUGAUGUAAUUGAACUAAUAAAGACUAGGGAGAAGGCCCAUGCAAAGCAUGGGAGUUUAUACCUAUGGUUUUGUUAAAUAAUUUGGUAAUGUUGGAUAAUUUGUUUUUAUCUUAGGCAAGGCAUGCUAUUAAUGGUUGCCAAAAAUGUCAUACCAUGUUUAUCUAAACAUUGCAUAUUAUUAUAAUAGGUAAUCAGUUGAGAGAAUUAAAAGUUUUGGCAACCAUAGUGAAGGGAUAAUAGACAUAGUUAUAGUUCAAAUUAAGGGUUGAUGCUUAAGUAAAUAACUGAGGUAGCAGUCUCGCAAUCUUUUCUAUUGAAGAGUAGGUGAUAUAGGAAUGAGAAAAGACACAAUUAGGUUUCUACUUCUCUAGGUACGGUACUUCUUAAUUGGUAGUUGAGCACCUUCUGCAGAAUUUUGAGUUUUAGUAAUUGUGGUCGGAACUUCUAGAGUGGAGCUUGGUUUUGUUGUUACUUCUGAAGACUUCUGUGUCAUGAGUUCAACUAAAUUCAGUAAGAAAAUAACAUAGCAUAUGAAUAUAGAGAUUUGUCUACUCAAAUAGUAAUUUCAAUCCACACACACCAACUCAUGCACUUAACUAUUGAAAUAAAACAUUGCAUCACCUGUAAUAUACUUUUAAAACUGGAUCAAUCAUUCAAACACUUGCUAAAAUCGCCACAUAGUUGUAAUCAAUGCAAUAAAAUUGAAAUCACAUUUAAACAACAGACAACAUGCAUCAAGUGGAAAUACACAAUUACCUUGUACCUUGAGGAACAAAAUGCAAUCUAAGAAAAUUUGCCCACACUUCACCCACCUACAAUAGCUAUUACAAAAGUUAAAUUAGGAAUUUUUAUUGUGCAAACAAAGCUAUACAGUUAACAAAGCGAGAAGAAAGAGUGAAAAUGAGCAUACCUCUACAAAUCUGAUUCUAAUGGUGUGAAAUAGAAACAUCUGAACCCACAGUUUUUAUAUUAAUGACUGCCAUUAUUACCACUUAGUUCAGAAACUAAUCUAUAAAUGGUGGAGAAAAUAGGGGGUCUUCAGUUACAACUUGUAAUGUUGAACUCAAAUGAUUCUUAAUCUCUCACACUUUAAUGAGCUCUUCAACAUGCUGCAAUUACCGGUUCAAAUGAGUGUGUUUUGUUGGAAGAAUGCAAUUAAUGUUUCUUAAACUUAACGAUGAAGAGCACAAAAUUUCCGACGGUUACAAUUCACAAAGAGUUUUCAAAUGGUUCUUCUACUUUGGGCAAUUAAUAUUGUCUUAAACACAUUUAAUUCAAUAGGAUGGCUUUCCCCCAAUUCACCUCACUUUCUUUGUGUUUUAAUCAUCAUCUCACAAAGGGCACUUUAGUAAACUUAUAUCCCAAUGAGCAUGGCCCACUUGUACUGUGUGGAUUACUUGUAUGAUGCUUAUACAAUCUCUAAAUUGCUCCUUAAAAUAUCAGAUAAAAAUCACCCAACAGACAAACUAUAACUCCUUUAUAUAUAUAUAUAGGAUAUAGGAUAUGAUGCUUAUACAAUCUCUAAAUUGCCCCUUAAAAUAUCAGAUAAAAAUCACCCAACAGACAAACUAUAACUCCUUGUUAUAUAUAUACUAGGGGGAAAAGCCCACGCAACGCAUGGGAGUUUGGUGCAUAUAAUUAAGGAUGGUUAAUAAUUAUUAUUUGGCAUUUUCUAGUAUAAGGAUUGAAGUAUGACAAUUUUUAUUAUGUAAUAUUAAAUAAAAAAAUCAUAAGUUACAUAUUGAGUUAAAAAUAUAUAUAAUAUGCAAUAAAACAUAAUUAUAAGAUACGAUCAACUAUUUUGCAUCUAAUCUAGUAUAAUAAAAUACCUAUUUAUAUCUGCUCAUGCACUUUAGGGAUAUUAAAAUUUGUUGUUUAGUUUAAAUUUGAUUUUGAUAUGAGGGCAAUCCACCACAUUAUCUUGUCAUAUAAAUGAGAUUUGAACAAUUAGCAUACUUGAAGAAAUCAUUGCUAGUGGAAUUUCGGUUCUUGCAAGCCAAAUUCUUGAAUUUAUAUUUGAUUCCAAGGACAUAUAUCAUCACAAUGCUUUCACAUUGAGCAAGCAAUUAAUUAUAAUUUAUUGUAUGAUUUAGGACAUAUAACAAAGCAUCUCCUUCUCGAUAGGGGUUACAAUCACGAAAUAUUAGUUUUGUGUUAGUUGCAAAGAUAUACAACAACUAACAUACUAAUUUAGAGGAAUAAUUACCUCAAAAAAGUACUAAAGCAUCUUAAUCCACUCAAUUUAAGAAAAAUAAUUAAAAGUAAUGAGGUACAUACUUUAUAUUUGUAGCCAAAUAGUUUUAAAUAGAUAGUUAAACAUAUUGGCAAAUCAGAUGAAGUGAAAAAUUAUCUAAAUGGAAUAGUCAAUAAAGUAGCAAACGAUUUGAAAAUUACCCAAACUAAUAGUUAAAACAACAAAAGAAGUAGAUGCAAUUUAUAAAUGGGAAAAUUUAUGAUGAUAAACUUAUUUUAAACCAUAAAUAACAAUUAAAAAAUGUGGUCUCUUUCUUAUCAAGCUUGUCUAACAUGGGCAAUUGAAUUAAAAUACUAAAAAAUUAUUGCAUAUACAACUUGCAAUAUUACAGAUUUUUUACAACAAAAAAAGUAAAUUGGUUAAAGAAAACAUACCUAUUGAAAAAGGUGUUGCAAAAUAGGGAAGAAGAGUAACUAAUGUAACAACAUCCGAAUUCAAUAUGCUGCAUGACUGUGGUGGAACAAAACCUAUAAGCAAAUGAAAUGAAUUUGAAUAGAUGGGGGUUACUAUGAUAACAGCCAAAAAACCAGACUUCUCUACUAAUUGACAUUAAUUGUGUCUUAACAUCUAUAUAUCAUAACUUUGCAAAUAACUAAUGAGAAAGGCUUGAAAAAAUUAAAAGACUUAGAUGUUAAUACAAUUAAAUGAUUAGAAGGGCUUUUAUGUAAUUUUACUAAAACACAAGCUGAGUUCAGACUAUUCAGUUGUACCCAAUGUUUAAUCGGAUAUCAAAUUUACCCCUAGUUUUAAAUGUUUAAAAGGACAUCUAAGUAAUUAGAACAAAAUUAAAUUAGUUAUAAUGACUCAUAUUCAAUACUCUAAUUGCACUUCAAACACUCUCACAUUUCCAAAAAAAUCCCACCCUUGCAGUUGAAAUUCAAGCCCUAAACUCAUUCUUAUAUAGUAUAAGGACUAGGGAGGGAGAACCCCCGCAACGCGUGGGAAUUUGGUACUUGUGAUUGAAGAUAAUUAAUAAUUAUUGUUUAAUAUUUUGUAGUAUAAGAACUGAAAUAUGAUAAUUUUAUCAUGUGAUUUUAACAGAAAAUUUAUAAGUUACAUAGUGAGUCAAUAAAAUAAUGUGCAAUGAAAUAUCCUUAUCCCUAUACUAUAUAAGAAUCAGUUAUGAUCAAAGGUUACGUUUGAAUUUCGACCGUAAAGAUAAAGGUAGUUAGAAAAUGUAAGAAUAUGUGAAGUGCAAUUGAAAAGUAUCCAAAAUUUUUUUCUAAAACUUAUCCAAGAUGAUAAAAUAUUUAAAAGUAUCAAUGGGACCCCUCAUCUCCCGAAUCUAUAUAUAUUCGUAAAAGAUCUCUCAAGUAAUGCUUUUAAUUUCUCCCUCGACUUAAGCUCAACUUGAAUUAUCAAGUCAAGUUUAUCCAUCAAUCACUUUAUGUCCAAUCUAAUCUAAAAUAACUUUAUUUUAGACUAACUAUUUAUAUAAUUGGUAGACAUAAUACGACUUAAUUACAUGUUUCUUAUAGAGAUAAUAAUGCCCAAAAAUGAUAGAGAUAAGAAACUUAAGUGGUCUCUUUAAAGUUUUGUAGAAACGAUUCAGAUUUGAUUUUUUUUUUUUUUUUGCUAGGGACAUUUCUUCAUAAUCUUAUAAAUAAGUUCAAAUCUGCAUAAUUGUUAAAUAUCUAAUUUGAAAUUACCUUGAUUAUAAAAAAUUGGUGCAAAUAAUAUUUUCUAAAUUUGAAAUUAUAGGAAAUGGUAACUAAAAUCAGAAGAAAUUGCUUAUAUGAAUUUGAAUUACAAGCUAUGGUAGAAUCUGCUUAAUGAUAUUUUCUAAUAUUUACUUGUAUAAUUAUCCAAUAUAACAACUCUGCGUAAUUGACUCGUUUGAACUAUGAAUAAUAGUUGCAAUCAAAUCAAGAAACAUUAUUUAUUAGUGUAUAGUAUAAAAUUAUGGUAAAUGAAUUAAUACAAUGCAAUCAAAAUGGUGCUGUAGCUGAAGCAUUUAAACUCAUCAAAUUCCAUUACAAAUUCUUUUAGAUAACAUGUUAAAUAAUAUCGCAAAACGAGUUGUCAAAGUACAAAAGCAAAUUUUUUGUAUUUGGAAUUAUAUAAACAACAGAGUACAAGAAUGAGAUCAUAACAUGGAAAGCAAAUAGAGUACAAAUUACAUCUUAGUACUAUGUAGCAUGAUUAAUUUUCUUUUUUAGUUUCAAUGAAGGACAAAAUUCUAAGUUAAUAAAUUUUACAAUUAUAAAAUUUCCAAUUAAAAUAAACACAAGCUGAAUUCCAAAUCAUAUUACAUGAAAAACUAAAUAAAAAUAACUACUUGAACCAUACUUUAUCUAUAAUAUAAAAUGCCAUAAUAAUUCUAUUCAACCAUCAAAAAUUUUGUCAAGCAUUAAACCAUUGGCAGAAUCACCAGGCCUCGAUUCCAUCCCUUCUUGCUAUGCUUACUGCAACACCUACACCCAUAAGCCUAUUGCCUCAUAACCUCAAGUUUCAAUCCCUAACAUUAUUUUUUCAUACCUUACUUUGAACAAUACUGAUUAGUAUCUUCAAGCUAUCUGAGACUUUGGAAGAAGAUGUCAAGAUUGGGGUUUCUUCAUGGUAACUACCAGAUCAUUCCUUUUUCUUUUUUUUCCUUUUCAUUUGGGAAUUUGGAUUCCUAGCAAUUUAGUAGCAACAAGACACUGGGAAUUCUAGAAAUUCAGACUCCCUUCUUUUCUAGAACUGUCAAAAUACAUAGUUUAAAUGAUACAUAGUAUGUGACGACGCGUGUAGGUGAUAAAUCACGACAUACCAGAAAGUCUAAUGAAUGCAAUAUUUGAUGUUAGCAACUUGGCCGAGGAGGAGAAGAUGGGAUAUGAAACUAAGCAUAUGUUGGAUCCAGUGUGGCAUGAGCUUCAAUGCUUCCAAAAGCAAAUCGAUCUUCUUCAGGUUUGGAGGGACUUCUUCAAGAUCAUCGUCCUACUUGCUUUUGCAAUGCCCUCAUGUUAUACCCUAUUCUAAUUAAACUUUGACUUAAUAUCUAUAACUUAUAAGUAACAAAUUUAUAAGAACAAAUAAAUUCCGUUACUUUAAAAAUUAGUUUUACACAACUUCAUUCAAUGAAUUAUAAGCAAGGUGAUAAAAUUGCUAACCUUAUUCAAGAUAUAUGCAACAAAGCCCGAUUUUGAUACCAAUUUCAACCUAUUUCACAAAUACAAGAACCAGAAAAAUAGUACAAUUAGUUAGUUUUUGGAAUUAGAAUUAUCAAAAAGCAAACUAUAUGGAGUUUUUGAAUAAACCAAUCAUAAAAAAAAAACCACCUCAAACCCAAAGAACUCACGUCAAUUUAAAGGAAAAGCUAUGCCUUCCACCAAAUAUUUAAUAACCAUAAUAAAACCAAAGAGGUGAAACAAAAAAAGAAGAAAGGCUAUCGACUGAACACGGAUGCAUAACUAUGGCGAUGGUUGUUUAGGACAAUCGGCUGAACCUGGGGUAUAACUAUGAUAAUGGUUGUUCAGGUAAUAAUUAGGUUAAUUAAUUGUAAUUAAAAUCCAAUUAUGUAAACAUCCAAUUAAUUCCUUAACGGAUGAGAAAGACUUUAGGAAAUUGGAAGGUUUGGGUGUUAGUAUAAUAAAUGAUUAAAAGGUCUUUUAUGUAAUUCUAUCAAAACACAAUCUUAAUUCAGUUGUAUCUGAUACUCAACUUGGCACCAAACAUUGUCACUUACCGAACUUGCCUCUAGUCUUAAAUGUCUGAAAGGUUAUAUAAGUAAUUAUAACAAAAUUAAAGCUGUAAUAACUUGUACUUAAUGCUCUAAUUGUAUUUCAAACACUCUUACAUUCCCAAAAUAACCCAACCCCUUACGGUUGAAAUCUAAAAACUAUCUUUACCCUGAACUCGUUCUUAUAUGGCAAAAGGAUAGGAAACUUUUCAUUCAACAAGCAAUACAAGGAAACUCUACGGUCCAUCUUGCUACUCUUAUGACAUACUUCUUGAAUGUUGUGAAGGUGAUUAUUAUAUUGAUUGCCCCUAACCAGAAUGUCUGCUAUAGUACAUUGAAUGGUCGAAACACCACUCUCUGUUAGAACCUGGCUCCCACCUUAGUUACUCAGGCUAGAGAUGCAAGUCUUUUCCUCGUUGAUUUUUUUUUUCUUGUACUUUUAGUUUGUAGUUCAAGUGUUCAACUUCCAUUGGUUUCGCCAGAUUCGUUUCAUGUGAUUAGCUACUGCUGAAGAAACGACAAAACAUACUUCAAGACAGCAUGAGCUAUCAUGGUUGAAGAUGUCAAACUUUCACACGGAAAUCAGAUUAAGUAUUGGCUUCUGCACAUGGACAUCCAACCUACGGACAGGUACAGCUCAAUGACUUGGACGAGCGUGUGUUAUCCAAGAAGCCAAAUAGAAUAGGAGAUGGAGAUAGAGAGAGGUACACGAAAGAUAGAUACUUCCUUUUGUCUCUUACAAUACCAGACUUAAUCUGGUACUCUGGUCAAUAGUAACUCUACAAAUCCCAAGCAUAGAAACACAAGCAUUAUAUAUCUGACUUGAAUGGCAUAAACUGAAGUUCUUAAAAAUCUGUGUCAUCUAAAGAAUGACAUUUUUGAGUCUAUGGCAUUACAGGGUACAAUUGGAUCAAAACUUCCUAAGAGGAGGCUGUAGCUACAAGAAUUGCUAUAUGCAUUACACAUGCUAUACAAUGGUCUAACAAUUUUGAUGUAAAAAAUCUACAAGUUACAUACAUCUAUACACAAGG